Molecule: long non-coding RNA, 170 nt
Organism: Sapajus apella (tufted capuchin)
Lineage: Eukaryota; Metazoa; Chordata; Mammalia; Primates; Cebidae
Exons: 2
Source: RefSeq, a predicted model, not a curated record
GACCUGGUGGCCCGAGCCUGUGGUCCCAGCUACUGGGGAGGCUGAGGCUGGAGGAUCGCUUGAGUCCAGGAGUUCUGGGCUGUAGUGCACUAUGCCAAUCGGGUGUCAGCACAAAGUUCGGCAUCAAUACGGUGACCUCCCAGGGGCGGGGGACCACCAGGUUGCCUAAG